GAGACGGUUCUCUUUGAGACCCGUUAUCGGAAUGAGAACAAUUCAAACCUUUUAACGAGGAUCUACGAGAGGGCAAGUCUGGUGCCAGCAGCCGCGGUAAUUCCAGCUCUCGAAGUGUAUAUCAUUGCUGCUGCGGUUAAAAAGCUCGUAGUUGGAUCUGCGCUCUCGGAGCUGGUCUCCCCUCUGGGGUUGUACUGGUGUCCAGGGCUAAGUGUGCUGGUUUUCCCUUGAUGCUCUUAACCGGGUGUCCUGGGAGGCUGGCGAGUUUACUUUGAAAAAAUUAGAGUGCUCAAAACAAGCGUUGGCUUGAAUAAUGGUGCAUGGAAUAAUAGAAUAGGACCUUGGUUCUAUUUUGUUGGUUUUCGGAACACGAGGUAAUGAUUAAGAGGGACAGACGGGGGCAUUCGUAUUGCGACGUUAGAGGUGAAAUUCUUGGAUCGUCGCAAGACGGACUACUGCGAAGGCAUUUGCCAA
Molecule: ribosomal RNA, 474 nt
Filed under: Eleutherolaimus sp.
Lineage: Eukaryota; Metazoa; Nematoda; Chromadorea; Monhysterida; Linhomoeidae
Description: SSU rRNA
Rfam family: Eukaryotic small subunit ribosomal RNA
Source: RNAcentral